RNAcentral lists this ribosomal RNA (711 nucleotides) under uncultured Lachnospiraceae bacterium. RNAcentral describes it as "bacterial SSU rRNA". It matches the Rfam family "Bacterial small subunit ribosomal RNA", at positions 28 to 739 of the family's 1533-position model. The record is from RNAcentral. Lineage: Bacteria; Bacillati; Bacillota; Clostridia; Lachnospirales; Lachnospiraceae.
GAUGAACGCUGGCGGCGUGCUUAACACAUGCAAGUCGAACGAAGCACUUUAACCUGAUUCUUCGGAUGAAGGUUUUUGUGACUGAGUGGCGGACGGGUGAGUAACGCGUGGGUAACCUGCCUCAUACAGGGGGAUAACAGUUAGAAAUGACUGCUAAUACCGCAUAAGACCACAGAGCCGCAUGGCUCGGUGGGAAAAACUCCGGUGGUAUGAGAUGGACCCGCGUCUGAUUAGGUAGUUGGUGGGGUAACGGCCUACCAAGCCAACGAUCAGUAGCCGACCUGAGAGGGUGACCGGCCACAUUGGGACUGAGACACGGCCCAAACUCCUACGGGAGGCAGCAGUGAGGAAUAUUGCACAAUGGGGGAAACCCUGAUGCAGCGACGCCGCGUGAGCGAAGAAGUAUUUCGGUAUGUAAAGCUCUAUCAGCAGGGAAGAAAAUGACGGUACCUGACUAAGAAGCACCGGCUAAAUACGUGCCAGCAGCCGCGGUAAUACGUAUGGUGCAAGCGUUAUCCGGAUUUACUGGGUGUAAAGGGAGCGUAGACGGCUGUGUAAGUCUGAAGUGAAAGCCCGGGGCUCAACCCCGGGACUGCUUUGGAAACUAUGCAGCUAGAGUGUCGGAGAGGUAAGUGGAAUUCCCAGUGUAGCGGUGAAAUGCGUAGAUAUUGGGAGGAACACCAGUGGCGAAGGCGGCUUACUGGACGAUGA